Molecule: ribosomal RNA, 118 nt
Organism: Danio rerio (zebrafish)
Lineage: Eukaryota; Metazoa; Chordata; Actinopteri; Cypriniformes; Danionidae
Source: Ensembl
UCUAAGUAUGACAUCAUAAACUAGCAUCAUGAGAUAUAACUAAUUGAAGCUAAGCAGGGCUGAGCCUAGACAGUACCUGGAUGGGAGACCACAUGGGAAAAUUAGGUUGCUGUUAGAA